RNAcentral lists this unclassified non-coding RNA (345 nucleotides) under soil metagenome. Its description in RNAcentral is "partial contains 5.8S ribosomal RNA, internal transcribed spacer 2, and large subunit ribosomal RNA". The stretch from base 1 to 120 matches the Rfam family "5.8S ribosomal RNA", at positions 35 to 154 of the family's 154-position model. The record is from RNAcentral.
GAUGAAGAACGUAGCGAAAUGCGAUACGUAAUGUGAAUUGCAGAAUUCAGUGAAUCAUCGAGUCUUUGAACGCACAUUGCGCCCCCUGGUAUUCCGGGGGGCAUGCCUGUCCGAGCGUCAUUGCUGCCCUCAAGCACGGCUUGUGUGUUGGGCCUCCGUCCUCCUCCCGGGGGACGGGCCCGAAAGGCAGCGGCGGCACCGCGUCCGGUCCUCGAGCGUAUGGGGCUUCGUCACCCGCUCUUGUAGGCCCGGUCGGCGCUUGCCGACACAUCAAUCUUUUUUCCAGGUUGACCUCGGAUCAGGUAGGGAUACCCGCUGAGUUUAAGCAUAUCAAUAAGCGGAGGA